UACGUAGGGGGGCAAGCGUUGUCCGGAAUCACUGGGCGUAAAGGGCGCGUAGGCGGCCUGAUAAGUAGGGGGUGAAAUCCUGCGGCUUAACCGCAGGGCUGCCUUCUAAACUGUCAGGCUAGAGCACGGUAGAGGCAGAUGGAAUUCCCGGUGUAGCGGUGAAAUGCGUAGAUAUCGGAGAGGAACACCUGCGGCGAAGGCGGGUCUCUGGGCCGAUACUGACGCUGAGGAGCGAAAGCAUGGGGAGCGAACGGG
This 255-nucleotide ribosomal RNA is filed under the name uncultured bacterium. RNAcentral's name for it is "partial 16S ribosomal RNA". It matches the Rfam family "Bacterial small subunit ribosomal RNA", at positions 524 to 776 of the family's 1533-position model. The record is from RNAcentral.